UACGUAGGGUGCGAGCGUUGUCCGGAAUUAUUGGGCGUAAAGAGCUUGUAGGCGGUUUGUCGCGUCUGCUGUGAAAAUCCGGGGCUCAACCCCGGACUUGCAGUGGGUACGGGCAGACUAGAGUGUGGUAGGGAGACUGGAAUUCCUGGUGUAGACGGUGAAAUGCGCAGAUAUCAGGAGGAACACCGGUGGCGAAGGCGGCUCACUGGCUCGUGAACUGACGCUCGAUGACACGACAGCGUGGGGAUCAAACAGG
This 256-nucleotide ribosomal RNA is filed under the name uncultured bacterium. RNAcentral's name for it is "partial 16S ribosomal RNA". It matches the Rfam family "Bacterial small subunit ribosomal RNA", at positions 524 to 776 of the family's 1533-position model. The record is from RNAcentral.